Molecule: ribosomal RNA, 383 nt
Filed under: uncultured Saprolegniales
Lineage: Eukaryota; Oomycota; Saprolegniomycetes; Saprolegniales
Description: partial small subunit ribosomal RNA
Rfam family: Eukaryotic small subunit ribosomal RNA
Source: RNAcentral
GCUUGUCUCAAAGAUUAAGCCAUGCAUGUCUUAGUGUAAAUAACUCUUAUGAAACUGCGAAUGGCUCAUUAAAUCAGUUAUCAAAUACGUGAUGGUCGCCUACUACAUGGAUAACCGUAGUAAUUCUAGAGCUAAUACAUGCACAAAGGCCCAUUCACGUGGGUUGUGAUUAUUAGAUUGAAACCAAUGCAGCUUCGGCUGGUAUUGUGUUGAGUCAUAAUAACUGUGCGGAUCGCUUUUUAAGCGAUAAAUCGAUUGAGUUUCUGCCCUAUCAGCUUUGGAUGGUAGGAUAUGGGCCUACCAUGGCGUUAACGGGUAACGGGGAAUUAGGGUUUGAUUCCGGAGAGGGAGCCUUAGAAACGGCUACCACAUCCAAGGAAGGC